Molecule: non-coding RNA, 32 nt
Filed under: Homo sapiens (human)
Lineage: Eukaryota; Metazoa; Chordata; Mammalia; Primates; Hominidae
Source: RNAcentral
UUUCCGAUUCCUAUAUCCGCAAUAAGACUUUC